Molecule: small nuclear RNA, 141 nt
Filed under: Microcebus murinus (gray mouse lemur)
Lineage: Eukaryota; Metazoa; Chordata; Mammalia; Primates; Cheirogaleidae
Description: U4 spliceosomal RNA (ENSMICG00000045509.1)
Rfam family: U4 spliceosomal RNA
About the family: U4 small nuclear RNA (U4 snRNA) is a component of the major U2-dependent spliceosome. The structure of U4 snRNA from yeast and human has been reported.
Source: Rfam by way of RNAcentral
AGCUUUGCGCAGUGGCAGUAUCACAGCCAAUGAGGUUCAUCCGAGGCGCGAUUAUUGCCAGUUGAAAACUUUUCCCAAUACCCUGCCAUGACGACUUGCAAUAUAGCCAGCAGUGGCAAUUUUUGGUGGUCCCUAUGCAGA